Molecule: ribosomal RNA, 234 nt
Filed under: uncultured bacterium
Lineage: Bacteria
Description: partial 16S ribosomal RNA
Rfam family: Bacterial small subunit ribosomal RNA
Source: RNAcentral
UACGUAGGGUGCAAGCGUUAAUCGGAAUUACUGGGCGUAAAGCGUGCGCAGGCGGUGAUGUAAGACAGGUGUGAAAUCCCCGGGCUUAACCUGGGAACUGCAUUUGUGACUGCAUCGCUGGAGUGCGGCAGAGGGGGAUGGAAUUCCGCGUGUAGCAGUGAAAUGCGUAGAUAUGCGGAGGAACACCGAUGGCGAAGGCAAUCCCCUGGGCCUGCACUGACGCUCAUGCACGAA